GACGAACGCUGGCGGCGUGCUUAACACAUGCAAGUCGAACGGAAAGGCCCAGCUUGCUGGGUGCUCGAGUGGCGAACGGGUGAGUAACACGUGGGUGAUCUGCCCCUAACUUCGGGAUAAGCUUGGGAAACUGGGUCUAAUACCGGAUAGGACAAUCGUUUAGUGUCGGUUGUGGAAAGUUUUUUCGGUUAGGGAUGAGCCCGCGGCCUAUCAGCUUGUUGGUGGGGUAAUGGCCUACCAAGGCGUCGACGGGUAGCCGGCCUGAGAGGGUGGACGGCCACAUUGGGACUGAGAUACGGCCCAGACUCCUACGGGAGGCAGCAGUGGGGAAUAUUGCACAAUGGGCGCAAGCCUGAUGCAGCGACGCCGCGUGGGGGAUGACGGCCUUCGGGUUGUAAACCUCUUUCGACAGGGACGAAGCUUUGGUGACGGUACCUGGAGAAGAAGCACCGGCUAACUACGUG
RNAcentral lists this ribosomal RNA (464 nucleotides) under uncultured bacterium. RNAcentral describes it as "partial 16S ribosomal RNA". It matches the Rfam family "Bacterial small subunit ribosomal RNA", at positions 28 to 507 of the family's 1533-position model. The record is from RNAcentral.